This 576-nucleotide ribosomal RNA is filed under the name Naganishia globosa. Its description in RNAcentral is "eukaryotic LSU rRNA". It matches the Rfam family "Eukaryotic large subunit ribosomal RNA", at positions 91 to 657 of the family's 3401-position model. Lineage: Eukaryota; Fungi; Basidiomycota; Tremellomycetes; Filobasidiales; Filobasidiaceae. The record is from RNAcentral.
GAGUGAGCGGGAAGAGCUCAAAUUUAGAAAUCUGGUAGGCUUCGCGUUGCCCGAGUUGUAAUCUAGAGAAGUGUUUUCCGCGUUGGCCCGUGUACAAGUCCCUUGGAACAGGGCGUCAUAGAGGGUGAGAAUCCCGUCCUUGACAUGGACCCCCAAUGCUUUGUGAUACACUUUCAACGAGUCGAGUUGUUUGGGAAUGCAGCUCAAAAUGGGUGGUGAAUUCCAUCUAAAGCUAAAUAUUGGCGAGAGACCGAUAGCGAACAAGUACCGUGAGGGAAAGAUGAAAAGCACUUUGGAAAGAGAGUCAAACAGUACGUGAAAUUGUUGAAAGGGAAACGAUUGAAGUCAGUCAUGCUCGUUGGAUCACACCCUUCUGCGGUGUAUUUCAUUGAGCGGGGUCAACAUCAUUUUUGAUCACUGGAAGGGACAGGAGAAUGUGUAGCACUCUCGUUGGAACUUAUACCCUCUUGUCAUUGACCUUGAUGGACUGAGAAGAACGCAGCAUGCCUUUUGUUGGUCUUCGGACACAUUCAUGCUUAGGAUGCUGACAUAAUGGCUUUAAACGACCCGUCUUGA